RNAcentral lists this ribosomal RNA (253 nucleotides) under uncultured bacterium. Its description in RNAcentral is "partial 16S ribosomal RNA". It matches the Rfam family "Bacterial small subunit ribosomal RNA", at positions 524 to 776 of the family's 1533-position model. The record is from RNAcentral.
UACGUAGGGGGCAAGCGUUGUCCGGAUUUAUUGGGCGUAAAGAGCGUGUAGGCGGCUUUACAGGUCCGUUGUGAAAACUCGAGGCUCAACCUCGAGACGCCGGUGGAAACCGUAAGGCUAGAGUCCGGAAGAGGAGAGUGGAAUUCCUGGUGUAGCGGUGAAAUGCGCAGAUAUCAGGAAGAACACCCGUGGCGAAGGCGGCUCUCUGGGCAGUAACUGACGCUGAGGAGCGAAAGCGUGGGGAGCGAACAGG